GAUGAACGCUGGCGGCGUGCCUAAUACAUGCAAGUCGAGCGAACAGAUGAGGAGCUUGCUCCUCUGACGUUAGCGGCGGACGGGUGAGUAACACGUGGAUAACCUACCUAUAAGACUGGGAUAACUUCGGGAAACCGGAGCUAAUACCGGAUAAUAUAUUGAACCGCAUGGUUCAAUAGUGAAAGACGGUUUUGCUGUCACUUAUAGAUGGAUCCGCGCCGCAUUAGCUAGUUGGUAAGGUAACGGCUUACCAAGGCAACGAUGCGUAGCCGACCUGAGAGGGUGAUCGGCCACACUGGAACUGAGACACGGUCCAGACUCCUACGGGAGGCAGCAGUAGGGAAUCUUCCGCAAUGGGCGAAAGCCUGACGGAGCAACGCCGCGUGAGUGAUGAAGGUCUUCGGAUCGUAAAACUCUGUUAUUAGGGAAGAACAAAUGUGUAAGUAACUAUGCACGUCUUGACGGUACCUGAUCAGAAAGCCACGGCUAACUUCGUG
Molecule: ribosomal RNA, 497 nt
Filed under: uncultured bacterium
Lineage: Bacteria
Description: partial 16S ribosomal RNA
Rfam family: Bacterial small subunit ribosomal RNA
Source: RNAcentral